AAUAUUGGACAAUGGGGGCAACCCUGAUCCAGCAAUGCCGCGUGUGUGAAGAAGGCCUUCGGGUUGUAAAGCACUUUUAUCCGGAACGAAACGUGUUGGGUGAAUAGCCCGGCAAACUGACGGUACCGGAGGAAUAAGCACCGGCUAACUUCGUGCCAGCAGCCGCGGUAAUACGAAGGGUGCAAGCGUUACUCGGAAUUACUGGGCGUAAAGCGUGCGUAGGUGGUUUGUUAAGUCUGCUGUGAAAGCCCCGGGCUCAACCUGGGAAUGGCAGUGGAUACUGGCAAGCUAGAGUGCGGUAGAGGGAUGUGGAAUUCCCGGUGUAGCGGUGAAAUGCGUAGAGAUCGGGAGGAACACCAGUGGCGAAGGCGGCAUCCUGGACCAGCACUGACACUCAGGCACGAAAGCGUGGGGAGCAAAC
This 421-nucleotide ribosomal RNA is filed under the name uncultured bacterium. Its description in RNAcentral is "bacterial SSU rRNA". It matches the Rfam family "Bacterial small subunit ribosomal RNA", at positions 360 to 773 of the family's 1533-position model. The record is from RNAcentral.